GUACACGCUGUGACUAGCAUAUCAAUAAGCGGAGGAAAAGAGGGCUAUUACCUACGCUUAGGAUGUUGACACACGCGCGUGCUCGAUGAUAGUCUAUACAUGACUCUGUGCAUAUCAAUAAGCGGAGGAAAAGAAACUAACAAGGAUUCCCCUAGUAACGGCGAGUGAAGCGGGAAGAGCUCAAAUUUGAAAUCUUAAAGGGUCUCCCUUUACGAAUUGUAGUUUAAAGAAGUGUUUUCUGUUGAGGUUUUGGUAAAAGUUCUUUGGAAUAGGACAUCAUAGAGGGUGAGAAUCCCGUAUUUGACCUUUACUUUCAACUUUGUGAUACACUUUCAAAGAGUCGGAUUGUUUGGGAAUGCAGUCCAAAAUGGGUGGUAAAUUUCAUCUAAAGCUAAAUAUUGGCGAGAGACCGAUAGCGAACAAGUACCGUGAGGGAAAGAUGAAAAGAACUUUGAAAAGAGAGUUAAACAGUACGUGAAAUUGUCAAAAGGGAAGCGUUUGACACCAGUGUUGUUUUUCUGAAAAUCAAUUAAAGAACUGUUUAUGCUAAGUUGUUUAGACUUUAUCAGCUAUCUGUUUAGUUUUGAGCUUUUCUUUAAUGCACUUUUCAGUUAACAAGUCAACAUCAAUUUCUUUUGCUGUAAAAAAGCUUGAGGAAGGUGGCUUGAGAUUCGUCUUAAGUGUUUAUAGCCUCUUGCCUAUGCAGUCGGAGAGAUUGAGGUCUGCAGCGUAGAUCCUUCGGGGCUAAAUGCAUUUGUGCUAAGUUAUAGCAUUUUAUAGACAACUUGUUGACUAUGAUUUGUCUUGUAGCUUACUCGCUUAUGUUAUUUUACCUACGCUUAGGAUGUUGAGUCGUAGAGCACGCAG
RNAcentral lists this ribosomal RNA (867 nucleotides) under uncultured Neocallimastigales. RNAcentral describes it as "partial large subunit ribosomal RNA". It matches the Rfam family "Eukaryotic large subunit ribosomal RNA", at positions 1 to 628 of the family's 3401-position model. Lineage: Eukaryota; Fungi; Neocallimastigomycota; Neocallimastigomycetes; Neocallimastigales. The record is from RNAcentral.